AAUAUUGCACAAUGGGCGCAAGCCUGAUCCAGCCAUGCCGCGUGAGAGAUGAAGGCCCUAGGGUUGUCAAGCUCUGUCACCGGUGAAGAUAAUGACGGUCACCGGAGAAGAAGCCCCGGCUAACUUCGUGCCAGCCGCCGCGGUAAUACGAAGGGGGCUAGCGUUGUUCGGAUUUACUGGGCGUAAAGCGCACGUAUGCGGAUUGGUCAGUUAGGGGUGAAAUCCCGGGGAUUAACCCUGAAAGUGCCUUUAAUACUGCCAGUCUUGAGUAUUGAAGAGGUGAGUGGAAUUGCGAGUGUAGAGGAGAAAUUCGUAGAUAUUCGCAGGAACACCAGUGGCGAGGGCGGCUCACUGGUCCAUUACUGACGCUGAGGUGCGGAAGCGUGGGGAGCAAACA
RNAcentral lists this ribosomal RNA (397 nucleotides) under uncultured bacterium. Its description in RNAcentral is "partial 16S ribosomal RNA". It matches the Rfam family "Bacterial small subunit ribosomal RNA", at positions 360 to 774 of the family's 1533-position model. The record is from RNAcentral.